This 570-nucleotide long non-coding RNA is filed under the name Homo sapiens (human). RNAcentral's name for it is "non-protein coding lnc-FGL1-3:1". Lineage: Eukaryota; Metazoa; Chordata; Mammalia; Primates; Hominidae. The record is from RNAcentral.
GUGUUCUGCAACGUAUUUACUUAACAGAUAGAGCGUGUAUGCUAGGAAAGCCUACAUCCUUGAAAACUGCACAGUCGUCAUGGGUGAAUUUGCCUAGACCACUUCCUAAAUCCAAAGCAUCUUUGAAAAGUCCUGCGCUGCGGAGGACAGGAAGCACCCCCUCAAUAGCCAGCACCCACAGUGAGCUGAGCACUUACAGCAACAAUUCUGGUAAUGCCGCUGUCAUCAAAUAUGAGGAGAAACCUCCAAAACCAGCAUUUCAGAAUGGUUCCUCAGGAUCCUUUUAUUUGAAGCCUUUGGUAUCCAGGGCUCAUGUUCACUUGAUGAAAACUCCUCCAAAAGGUCCUUCGAGAAAAAAUUUAUUUACAGCUCUUAAUGCAGUUGAAAAGAGCAGGCAAAAGAAUCCUCGAAGCUUAUGUAUCCAGCCACAGACAGCUCCCGAUGCGCUGCCCCCUGAGAAAACACUUGAAUUGACGCAAUAUAAAACAAAAUGUGAAAACCAAAGUGGAUUUAUCCUGCAGCUCAAGCAGCUUCUUGCCUGUGGUAAUACCAAGUUUGAGGCAUUGACAG